AUGAAGCUGUGGGGAAGGCCCAAUGAAAAAGUCAGACAAAAGUUUAUAAGUCUGAAUAAAUAACUCUUUGAGAGUCAGUAGAAAAAAAAGAAAGAUAUUAAAAAAACAUAACUAAAAAACCCAGCAAACAAAAAAUUACUUCAUGCCACCUCGGUUACUACUUUGACUAUGUAUAUCCUUGGCAUUGUUUUUGUCCACUCAUUGGAAUUAGAGUCCAAGGAACAGAGUUUACAAAUUCUGGAAGGGAGCAGUCUCUACUCUGACAACAGAAGAGGAAUAUUCAAUGAGUCAGAGAGGAGUCAGAACAUCAUGGACAUGUUGGUCUCUGCAAUAAAGCUAUGACUUUUGUAAGAAGAAUUAAUUAAGCUACUCGGGCAUCUGUUGAUGCGCCAUUUACCAAUUUCUGUGGAUGCAGUUGAGUUUUUCUCCAUCAUCUACAUAACUUUAGUCUGGCUAUUGGAUCAGUGCAUGCUUCUUUUCAUAAAAAGAUAAUUUACGAGCCAGUCUCUCCUUACGGAUUUCACAGCUACCUAAUUCGUUCAUUUUUUUGACACUGAAAAUUAAUUUCCUAUGUCCCUUGAUGUUGCAUUAUAUGAUGACUAAUAAGAAUCAUUACAGUAAUAUUGAAAAACAAAUAAAACCUGAAUGUGAGUCUAGGAGAGAAAAACUGAACUCUCUGGAGGGAAGCAUUCUUCUUUUCCAUCUUGGCAAUUACAAGUGUGAGCCUUUGCUGUCCUGGGAUGGAACGGAUGCCAUAUCACAGUGCCAAGUACAGGAUGAAAGCUCCAGGGGGAAGACACAGCCCACAGUCUGGAAGAAAAUACCACUAGCUCCUCAUGCUACUAUGAUAAAUACUGUGAAAAUGAAACAUAGGGAAGCAUAGGCUUAGAAAUCUCUUAGCACAGAAGAAAUCUCUUGUGGAACACUUCUUGCAAAGCUACUUGCAUGCAGCCAACCGUGCUCAGUCAGGCCAUAGUUUUGAUACGAUGCUGUGCUGUUGCCCUUGCUUGGGUUUAUUCUAUUUCAGAUGUAGGACUUUGCAUUUUCCUUUGUGGGAAUUCACCACAACUUAUUUGCUCAUUCCUUCCAGUAACCAUUGUGCUCAUUUGUGCAAGAAUAUGUAAGUUUUGCUGUUGUGCUUCCCAGAAGGAGUUAAAGUAGGGAAAGCUCUUUUAUGGUUUCUUGCAUAUUCUAACCUAUUACCUUAAUGCCCUUUACUGCAAAUUUUCAGGGUUAAAAAGUUUCACCAUGCUUAGAGAUUAAAAAGCAUGUCUCAUACAGCAUCUAAUUUUCUCAUUUUUCGAGAAUUUUCAUGUAUAUUCAAUCAUCUGAAGCAAUUUAAUCUACUGCGGUAUUGUGGAAACUACAGCUCCUUUCUCCUUGAACUACUUUUAGUGCUUAUCCAAAUUGAGGUAUGAAAGAAAAAUCUGGGCCAGUUCAUUUAUUGAGCUUGGUUACUCUUGUGUUUAAUAUUCUCUAAUGAUCCACUAGUGUAUUCCUGAAUGUGUGUUGCUAUCCAAUAGAUUAUAGCACAGAUACCUAAGCAGCAUAACAAAAGGAAAGCAGUUGCUGGAGAGGGAUGACUAUUAAGUAAUAUAUUCAUGAGCAGCUAGUCUCAGUUUGGCUGUGUCCACAGAUUAUCUGGAUCUUUUUAAUUUAAGAAUCUUGAUAGACACAAAAUGUAACUGAUAUGAAAGUCUCCUAGAAAUAAUUGAUGAGGUAAUGUUCUCUGAGGAAUACGAAUUUGCUGUGCUCUGUCUUUAGCUUCUAACAGAUAUGAAUGAACACAAAUAUUGCACUGUUUUUGGCAGGGAGUGCUGUGGUAACACUUGGUAUGUAAUGCUCUCAGGAUUUUCAGUUCUGACAGUUGCAGCUUCCACUUAUCUGGAAAAUUUGCUUUUUACUUGACAUUAAAUGAACAUGAAUGAGGCUGGUCAUUGGUAAGUGAGUAAUCCAUUAUUCUGUAAAUGCAGACGACACCAUCUAGUUGUGCCUAAGAACUGAAAUUGUCUACUCAGCAAGGAAUUUAAUAUUAAGAGGCAAAACAUGAUUGAAAGUAAUACAUUCAAAGAAUGUUUCUUAUUUAUAUUUCAGAAUACAUUUCUGAAAUACAGAUAAACAAACUAAAAUAUUAUUCCACUCUUUAAACUGAAAUAGUAUAGCUCUCUUUUUAUCAGCAUGUUGGAAAACCAUUGCUUUCCCAGUCAGGAAUAGUUGGUCAAAGUCAGCAUAAAACCUCUCUGCUUCUUGUGGUUAUUUGGAUUUCUUAAAUAUCAAACCAAAGGGACAAAGCACCUUCAGACUCUUCUUUAUCUUGUAGCUAAAAAAGAAGCAAAAACUUGAUUUCCCCCUGAAAUGAGAGAGAUUUCUGAAAUCCCUCUGAUUUCAGAGGGAAAUCAGCUGAAAAUUAACUGUGUGAACUGUGGCCAGACACAGUUUUCAAAUUCUAUUAUUUAGGAACUUAAUUCUAUUUGCAUAUGGAUGUCCCUAUAUUGUUUAGAUGAGCAGGGAGAAGUACUACAUAUCAAUUUCUUUCUCUUAGUUAACUCUCUUGGAAAAGCUGGUGGUUCCUCCAUCUUGAGAAAUCUCAAGGCAAAUAAUGUUCAGAAAGAUCGAAUGCGACACUUCACUGAAACACGAUUCUAGAUAAUUUUGUGAUAAAAUAUCUAACAUCUACAAAAGAGCUUAUAAGUAGAAGUCUUAACAGUAAAUCGUCCCUAUGUUAAUAAAAAUGCAGCAAAGCAAAAAUGGGUGGCUGUGUGCACCUGUAACCAUAACACUGUUUUUUAGAGACUUUGAAGGCAGCAUGCUCUGUUAAAAUUGUGGAGUUUUGGAUCUGUGUGAGCACUGAAAGUUGAUAUCUGACCUGUUUUAAUGAAAGAUUUUAUCUAUUGAUGUCUACAUUAACUAAAUUAGUUUUGUAUAGAGUAAGUAUAAAAGUUUAUUUUACAGAUGAUUCCUCUUCAGAAUUAGAUCUCUUCCAGUAUGUGUAAUUGCAAACCAUCUGUCGAAUUCCAUAUGAUUAAAAAAACAACAAAAAGUGACAUUGAGUAAUCUAAAACAAAAUAGUCCUGACACUUCUGAAAGAAUGAAAUAUAAUUUAAAAAGUGGGAACAGAAAAUAAAAGAUGAGGUGAGAGGACAAAACAGCUGUAGUUCUUCUCUGGAAUCUAGACACCACAAAUGCUUUCUUGUAUGCAAAAAGAAAAUAGAAGCCCCAAAUUUAAGGAAGGAAUAAUAUGAAUGAAUCCAGCCUUAUAAAUAUGCAUUAAUGAUUUUUACUUUAUAUUGUACAAAAAUCCACACAUAAUGCUUUUAUUAAAUGUAUUGACCAUAUCAUCACUGUCUCAUGAGACCUAUAAGGUGCUGCUUAAGAGUAACAUGGGUGUUUGGAUUUUUUUUUCUCUUUUUUUUUUUUUUAUUUUCAACUGAAGAUCUUGUAAAUCCAUCUGUUACAAACAAAUAUUUACCCUGGAAGUGCUGAUCACAGUGUCAGUGAUCCUCAGCUUUUUUCUUUCUCUGUUAUGUUUUUUAUGAAGACAUGUGCAUUUGUAUUGUGUUGUAGCUUAGCUUUCAGUAGAAAUAGUAAUAUGUAUAUUACCCAAAUUAAAAUAACUAAAUAUGUAUACAGAUUAAUAUGGACAUAUUAAUGCACUGAGAUAGGAAUGUGGGGGGGGAAUUGUCUUAUUAAUGAACAUUUGAUACGUCCUUUAAGAUCUGGAAAACAAAAUAAUAACUAGGUAUUUAACUGCUGGUAGAAAUUGA
This is a long non-coding RNA of Passer domesticus (house sparrow), 3764 nucleotides long. RefSeq lists it as uncharacterized. The record is from RefSeq and is a predicted model, not a curated record. The transcript is spliced from 3 exons. Lineage: Eukaryota; Metazoa; Chordata; Aves; Passeriformes; Passeridae.